This 317-nucleotide ribosomal RNA is filed under the name uncultured bacterium. RNAcentral describes it as "bacterial SSU rRNA". It matches the Rfam family "Bacterial small subunit ribosomal RNA", at positions 29 to 342 of the family's 1533-position model. The record is from RNAcentral.
ACGAACGCUGGCGGCGUGCCUAACACAUGCAAGUCGAACGGGACCAGGGGCAACUCUGGUUCAGUGGCGGACGGGUGCGUAACACGUGAGGAACAUGACCUUCGGCGGGGAGUAGCCGGCCCGAACGGCCGGGUAAGUACCGCGUACGACCAUUGGGGGACGAUCCCCGACGUGGUGAAAGCAGCAAUGCGCCGAUGGAGUGCCUCGCGGCCUAUCAGCUAGUUGGUGAGGUAACGGCUCACCAAGGCGACGACGGGUAGCUGGUCUGGAGGGGGCGACCGGCCACACUGGGACUGAGACACGGCCCAGACUCCUAC